UGGUCAAGUUAUUAAGGGUGCAGGGCGGAUGCCUUGGCACUAGGAGCCGAUGAAGGACGUGAUAAGCUGCGAUAAGCUUCGGGGAGUUGCACGUAAACUUUGAUCCGAAGAUUUCCGAAUGAGGAAACUCACUUAGAGUAAUGUCUAAGUAUCAUUAAGUGAAUACAUAGCUUAAUGAGGGGAACUCAGGGAACUGAAACAUCUAAGUACCUGAAGGAAGAGAAAGAAAUUCGAUUCCGUAAGUAGCGGCGAGCGAACGCGGAUUAGCCCAAACCAAUAAAGUUUUCUUUAUUGGGGUUGCGGACAUAUCAUAACGAAGAGGUAUCGUAAUUGAAGAGGUUUGGAAAGACCUACCACAGAAGGUAAUAGUCCUGUAUGUUAAACGAGAAGACUUUAGAUAUGAUCCAGAGUACCACGGGACACGUGAAACCCUGUGGGAAGCAGGAGGGACCACCCUCCAAGGCUAAAUACUACCUAGUGACCGAUAGCGUAUAGUACCGUGAGGGAAAGGUGAAAAGAACCCCGGGAGGGGAGUGAAAUAGAACCUGAAACCCUGCACUUACAAGCUGUGGAAGCACAUUUCUUGUGUGACCGCGUACUUUUUGUAGAACGGGCCAACGAGUUACGUUAAGUAGCAAGGUUAAGCACUUAAGGUGCGGAGCCGUAGCGAAAGCGAGUUUUAACUGAGCGUUCAGUUACUUGACGUAGACCCGAAACCGGGCGACCUACCCAUGAGCAGGAUGAAGCGAAAGUAAAAUUUCGUGGAGGUCCGAACCCACGAGCGUUGAAAAGCUCGGGGAUGACUUGUGGGUAGCGGUGAAAUUCCAAUCGAGCCCGGAGAUAGCUGGUUCUCCCCGAAAUAGCUUUAGGGCUAGCCUCAAGGUGAGAGAUACGGAGGUAGAGCACUGAAUGUCCUAGGGGGUAUUGCACCUACCGAAGACUAUCAAACUCCGAAUGCCGUCAUCUUAUACUUGGGAGUCAGACUGUGGGUGAUAAGAUUCAUAGUCGAAAGGGCAACAGCCCAGAUCGUCAGCUAAGGUCCCUAAAUGUAAGUUAAGUGGUAAAGGAUGUGGGAUUGCACAGACAACCAGGAUGUUGGCUUAGAAGCAGCCACUCAUUCAAAGAGUGCGUAAUAGCUCACUGGUCGAGUGAUCCUGCGCCGAAGAUUUCCGGGGCUAAAACUUACUACCGAAGCUACGGCAUCAGUAAUGAUGGGUAGGGGAGCUUCCCAUACGGGUUGAAGCAUGACCGUAAGGACAUGUGGACAGUAUGGGAGUGAGAAUGUUGGCAUGAGUAGCGAGAUGUGGGUGAGAAUCCCACAGGCCGUAAACCCAAGGUUUCCAGGGGAAGGUUCGUCCGCCCUGGGUUAGUCGGGACCUAAGCUGAGGCCGAAAGGCGUAGGUGAUGGACAACAGGUUGAUAUUCCUGUACUACCGAUAACCAUUUGAGAGAAGGGAUGACACAGUAGGAUAAGCUAAGCACACUGUUGGUUAUGUGUGCCCAAGCAUUGAGGCAGUCAAAGUAGGCAAAUCCGCUUUGAUAAUGCUGGGAUGUGAUGGGGAGCGAAAUUUAGUAGCGAAGUAGCUGAUUUCACACUGUCAAGAAAAGUCUCUAUCGAGGUUAAAGGUACCCGUACCGCAAACCGACACAGGUGGGUGAGGAGAGUAUCCUAAGGCCAGCGAGAGAACUGUUGUUAAGGAACUCGGCAAAAUGACCCCGUAACUUAGGGAUAAGGGGUGCCACCAUCAGGUGGCCGCAGAGAAUAGGCCCAAGCGACUGUUUACCAAAAACAUAGGUUUCUGCUAAGUCGCAAGACGAUGUAUAGGAGCUGACGCCUGCCCGGUGCUGGAAGGUUAAGGGGAUCUGUUAGAGCAAUCGAAGCAGUGAACUUAAGCCCCAGUAAACGGCGGCCGUAACUAUAACGGUCCUAAGGUAGCGAAAUUCCUUGUCGGGUAAGUUCCGACCCGCACGAAAGGCGUAACGAUUUGGGCACUGUCUCAACAACAGACUCGGUGAAAUUGUAAUUCCGGUGAAGAUGCCGGAUACCUGCGACAGGACGGAAAGACCCCAUGGAGCUUUACUGUAGCUUGACAUUGGGUCUUGGUACUACAUGUACAGGAUAGGUGGGAGGCUUUGAAACCAGGACGCCAGUUUUGGCGGAGCCAUCCUUGGGAUACCACCCUUGUAGUACUGGGACUCUAACCAUAGGCCAUGAAUCUGGUCUUGGGACACUGUCAGGUGGGCAGUUUGACUGGGGCGGUCGCCUCCCAAAAGGUAACGGAGGCGCUCAAAGGUUCUCUCAGUACGGUCGGAAAUCGUACGUAGAGUGUAAAGGCAAAAGAGAGCUUGAUUGCAAGACAUACAGGUCGAGCAAGGAUGAAAAUCGGACUUAGUGAUCCGGUGGUUCUGCGUGGAAGGGCCAUCGCUCAACGGAUAAAAGCUACCCUGGGGAUAACAGGCUUAUCUCCCCCAAGAGUCCACAUCGACGGGGAGGUUUGGCACCUCGAUGUCGGCUCAUCACAUCCUGGGGCUGUAGUAGGUCCCAAGGGUUGGGCUGUUCGCCCAUUAAAGUGGUACGCGAGCUGGGUUCAGAACGUCGUGAGACAGUUCGGUCCCUAUCCGUCGCAGGCGUAGGAAAUUUGAGAAGACCUGUCCUUAGUACGAGAGGACCGGGAUGGACGUACCUCUGGUGUACCAGUUGUCCUGCCAAGGGCAUGGCUGGGUAGCUAUGUACGGAAUGGAUAAGCGCUGAAAGCAUCUAAGCGCGAAGCCAACUUCAAGAUAAGAUUUCCCACCGCAAGGGUAAGACCCCAGAAAGACUAUCUGGUUGAUAGGUCGAAGGUGUAAGUGCAGCAAUGUAUUUAGCUUAUCGAUACUAAUAGGUCGAGGACUUGACCAAG
RNAcentral lists this ribosomal RNA (2900 nucleotides) under Clostridioides difficile. RNAcentral's name for it is "23S ribosomal RNA". It matches the Rfam family "Bacterial large subunit ribosomal RNA". Lineage: Bacteria; Bacillati; Bacillota; Clostridia; Peptostreptococcales; Peptostreptococcaceae. The record is from RNAcentral.